GUGCCAGCAGCCGCGGUAAUACGAACUGUGCAAACGUUAUUCGGAAUCACUGGGCUUACAGGGUGCGUAGGCGGCUUGCUAAGUAGGGUGUGAAAGCCCCCGGCUUAACCGGGGAACUGCGCCUUAAACUGGCGAGCUAGAGUGAGAUAGGGGUGUGCGGAACUUCCGGUGGAGCGGUGAAAUGUGUUGAUAUCGGAAGGAACGCCGGUGGCGAAAGCGGCACACUGGAUCUCAACUGACGCUGAGGCACGAAAGCCAGGGUAGCGAACGGGAUUAGAUACCCUAGUAGUCC
Molecule: ribosomal RNA, 292 nt
Filed under: uncultured bacterium
Lineage: Bacteria
Description: partial 16S ribosomal RNA
Rfam family: Bacterial small subunit ribosomal RNA
Source: RNAcentral